Molecule: ribosomal RNA, 441 nt
Filed under: uncultured bacterium
Lineage: Bacteria
Description: partial 16S ribosomal RNA
Rfam family: Bacterial small subunit ribosomal RNA
Source: RNAcentral
CCUACGGGAGGCUGCAGUAGGGAAUUUUGCGCAAUGGGGGAAACCCUGACGCAGCAACGCCGCGUGAUCGAUGAAGCCCUUCGGGGUGGAAAGAUCUGUCAGUGGGGACGAAACCUGACGGUACCCACAGAGGAAGCACGGGCUAACUCCGUGCCAGCAGCCGCGGUAAUACGGGGGGUGCAAGGGUUUUCCGGAAUCAGUGGGCGUAAAGGGUUCGUAGGUGGCACGUUAAGUCUGGUGUUAAAGGCGGAAGCUCAACUUCCGUAGGGCACUGGAUACUGGCGAGCUUGAAUGCGGUAGGGGUAAAGGGAAUGCCUGGUGUAGCGGUGAAAUGCGUAGAUAUCAGGAGGAACAUCGGUGGCGUAGGCGCCUUACUGGGCCGUAAUUGACGCUGAGGAACGAAAGCCGGGGGAGCAAAUGGGAUUAGAUACCCGUGUAGUC